CUACGGGUUGCUGCAGUGGGGAAUAUUGCACAAUGGGCGCAAGCCUGAUGCAGCCAUGCCGCGUGUAUGAAGAAGGCCUUCGGGUUGUAAAGUACUUUCAGCGGGGAGGAAGGGAGUAAAGUUAAUACCUUUGCUCAUUGACGUUACCCGCAGAAGAAGCACCGGCUAACUCCGUGCCAGCAGCCGCGGUAAUACGGAGGGUGCAAGCGUUAAUCGGAAUUACUGGGCGUAAAGCGCACGCCGGCGGUUUGUUAAGUCAGAUGUGAAAUCCCCGGGCUCAACCUGGGAACUGCAUCUGAUACUGGCAAGCGUGAGUCUCGUAGAGGGGGAUAGAAUUCCAGGUGUAGCGGUGAUAUGCGGAGAGAUCUGGAGGAAUACCGGUGGCGAAGGCGGCCCCCUGGACGAAGACUGACGCUCAGGUGCGAAAGCGUGGGGAGCAAACAGGAUUAGAUACCCUCGUAGUC
RNAcentral lists this ribosomal RNA (464 nucleotides) under uncultured bacterium. Its description in RNAcentral is "partial 16S ribosomal RNA". It matches the Rfam family "Bacterial small subunit ribosomal RNA", at positions 339 to 795 of the family's 1533-position model. The record is from RNAcentral.